GCCGGGCGCGGUGGCGCACGCCUGUAGUCCCAGCUACUCGGGAGGCUGAGGCAGGAGGAUCGCUUGAGUCCAGGAGUUCUGGGCUGUAGUGCGCUAUGCCGAUCGGGUGUCCGCACUAAGUUCGGCAUCAAUAUGGUGACCUCCCGGGAGCGGGGGACCACCAGGUUGCCUAAGGAGGGGUGAACCGGCCCAGGUCGGAAACGGAGCAGGUCAAAACUCCCGUGCUGAUCAGUAGUGGGAUCGCGCCUGUGAAUAGCCACUGCACUCCAGCCUGGGCAACAUAGCGAGACCCCGUCUCUU
Molecule: signal recognition particle RNA, 300 nt
Filed under: Mus caroli (Ryukyu mouse)
Lineage: Eukaryota; Metazoa; Chordata; Mammalia; Rodentia; Muridae
Description: 7S RNA 1 (MGP_CAROLIEiJ_G0008510.1)
Rfam family: Metazoan signal recognition particle RNA
About the family: The signal recognition particle (SRP) is a universally conserved ribonucleoprotein. It is involved in the co-translational targeting of proteins to membranes.
Source: RNAcentral